CAGCCGCCGCGGUAAUACGUAGGGUGCGAGCGUUAAUCGGAAUUACUGGGCGUAAAGCGUGCGCAGGCGGUUCGUUAAGACAGAUGUGAAAUCCCCGGGCUUAACCUGGGAACUGCAUUUGUGACUGGCGUGCUAGAGUAUGGCAGAGGGGGGUAGAAUUCCACGUGUAGCAGUGAAAUGCGUAGAGAUGUGGAGGAAUACCGAUGGCGAAGGCAGCCCCCUGGGCCAAUACUGACGCUCAUGCACGAAAGCGUGGGGAGCAAACAGGAUUAGAUACCCGCGUAGUCCCUGUCUCUUAUAC
Molecule: ribosomal RNA, 301 nt
Filed under: uncultured bacterium
Lineage: Bacteria
Description: partial 16S ribosomal RNA
Rfam family: Bacterial small subunit ribosomal RNA
Source: RNAcentral